UGUUUAACAAAAACAUAACUGUAUGAGAUACUAUGCAGCUUUUUCUGCUCCAUGAUAUGUUAAAUAGCCGCAGUACCCUGACUGUGCAAAGGUAGCAUAAUCAAUUGGCUUUUAAUUAAAGUCUAGCAUGAACGAACGCAUGGGUAGUUACUGUCUAAAGGAUGUUAAUAUAAAAUUAUCAAGUUGGUGCAAAUGCCAACAAAAUUAAAAAAGACGAGAAGACCCUAGAAACUUAUAGUUGAUUUUGCUGGGGCGGCAGAAUUGCAUAUAACCAAUUUUAAUUAACGUGAAGCGACGCANAAAGAAAAAGUUACUCUAGGGAUAACAGCAUAAUUUUAAUAGUUUGUGACCUCGAUGUUGGACUAGGGAUUCUACCCCCUAGAAGGGAGUAGUUAUGGCUCUGUUCGAGCUAAGAGCCCCUACGUGAUCUGAGUUCAAACCGGACG
RNAcentral lists this ribosomal RNA (446 nucleotides) under Codringtonia eucineta. RNAcentral's name for it is "partial large subunit ribosomal RNA". It matches the Rfam family "Archaeal large subunit ribosomal RNA", at positions 1893 to 2690 of the family's 2987-position model. Lineage: Eukaryota; Metazoa; Mollusca; Gastropoda; Stylommatophora; Helicidae. The record is from RNAcentral.